AAAUUGAAGAGUUUGAUCAUGGCUCAGAUUGAACGCUGGCGGCAGGCCUAACACAUGCAAGUCGAACGGUAACAGGAAGCAGCUUGCUGCUUUGCUGACGAGUGGCGGACGGGUGAGUAAUGUCUGGGAAACUGCCCGAUGGAGGGGGAUAACUACUGGAAACGGUAGCUAAUACCGCAUAACGUCGCAAGACCAAAGAGGGGGACCUUAGGGCCUCUUGCCAUCGGAUGUGCCCAGAUGGGAUUAGCUAGUAGGUGGGGUAAUGGCUCACCUAGGCGACGAUCCCUAGCUGGUCUGAGAGGAUGACCAGCCACACUGGAACUGAGACACGGUCCAGACUCCUACGGGAGGCAGCAGUGGGGAAUAUUGCACAAUGGGCGCAAGCCUGAUGCAGCCAUGCCGCGUGUAUGAAGAAGGCCUUCGGGUUGUAAAGUACUUUCAGCGGGGAGGAAGGGAGUAAAGUUAAUACCUUUGCUCAUUGACGUUACCCGCAGAAGAAGCACCGGCUAACUCCGUGCCAGCAGCCGCGGUAAUACGGAGGGUGCAAGCGUUAAUCGGAAUUACUGGGCGUAAAGCGCACGCAGGCGGUUUGUUAAGUCAGAUGUGAAAUCCCCGGGCUCAACCUGGGAA
RNAcentral lists this ribosomal RNA (630 nucleotides) under Escherichia coli O25b:H4-ST131. RNAcentral describes it as "bacterial SSU rRNA". It matches the Rfam family "Bacterial small subunit ribosomal RNA", at positions 1 to 620 of the family's 1533-position model. Lineage: Bacteria; Pseudomonadati; Pseudomonadota; Gammaproteobacteria; Enterobacterales; Enterobacteriaceae. The record is from RNAcentral.